This 253-nucleotide ribosomal RNA is filed under the name uncultured bacterium. RNAcentral describes it as "partial 16S ribosomal RNA". It matches the Rfam family "Bacterial small subunit ribosomal RNA", at positions 524 to 776 of the family's 1533-position model. The record is from RNAcentral.
UACGUAGGGACCAAGCGUUGUUCGGAUUUACUGGGCGUAAAGGGCGCGUAGGCGGCAAUUCAAGUCAUCUGUGAAAUCUCCGGGCUUAACCCGGAACGGUCAGAUGAUACUGCUUUGCUAGAGUGCGGAAGGGGCAAUCGGAAUUCUCGGUGUAGCGGUGGAAUGCGCAGAUAUCAGGAGGAACACCGAUGGCGAAGGCAGGUCUCUGGGCCAGUACUGACACUGAGAAGCGAAAGCAUGGGGAGCGAACAGG